GGUUGAUCCUGCCAGUAGUUAUAUGCUUGUUUCGAAGAUUAAGCCAUGCAAGUCAAAGUUCACGAAAGGAAACUGCAGAAUGCUCAUUACAAUAAAGAAUGCGAAACCUGGAGAGGUAUGGAUAACCUAGGUAAUUCUUAGGCUAAUACAAGAUUGUAGUAUCCGCUUUGGAUACUGCAGAAGUCCUUUAAUGGCAUCCAGGGCAGUUCUUUAAUCUAUCAACUGUCGAUGGUGGAGUCUUGGUUCACCAUGGUAACAACGGGUAACGGGGAAUUAGGGUUUGAUUCCGGAG
RNAcentral lists this ribosomal RNA (292 nucleotides) under uncultured eukaryote. Its description in RNAcentral is "partial 18S ribosomal RNA". It matches the Rfam family "Eukaryotic small subunit ribosomal RNA", at positions 6 to 388 of the family's 1831-position model. The record is from RNAcentral.